AUUCCAGCUCCAAUAGCGUAUAUUAAAGUUGUUGCGGUUAAAAAGCUCGUAGUUGGAGUUCUGCCAGGUGACGCUCGUCCGCCCAAGUGGUGUGUACAGGGCGUGCAUCUGGCCCUUUCAAGGGGAACGUGUCUGCUCUUUAUUGAGUGGUGCGAGAUCCUUGACUUUUACUUUGAGGAAAUCAGAGUGUUCCAAGCAGGCUCUCGUCGUGUAUAGCUCAGCAUGGAAUAAUAGCAUUGGACUUCGUUUCUAAGCUGUUGGUUGCAAGAAGCGAGGUAAUGAUGAAGAGGGAUAGUUGGGGGUAUUAGUAUUUAAUUGUCAGAGGUGGAAUUCUCGGAUUUGUUAAAGACUAACUUAUGCGAAAGCAUUUGCCAAGGAUGUUUUCAUCG
RNAcentral lists this ribosomal RNA (389 nucleotides) under Syndiniales sp. Its description in RNAcentral is "partial small subunit ribosomal RNA". It matches the Rfam family "Eukaryotic small subunit ribosomal RNA", at positions 582 to 975 of the family's 1831-position model. The record is from RNAcentral. Lineage: Eukaryota; Dinophyceae; Syndiniales.